RNAcentral lists this long non-coding RNA (5617 nucleotides) under Sus scrofa (pig). RNAcentral describes it as "lncRNA (ENSSSCG00045008161.1)". Lineage: Eukaryota; Metazoa; Chordata; Mammalia; Artiodactyla; Suidae. The record is from RNAcentral.
GGCAUUGUGCUAAGUUAAAUCAGUCUGACAAAGACAAAUACUGUAUGAUAUCAUUUAUAUGUGGAGUGUGAAAAAUACAACAAACUAGUGAAUAACAGAACAACCCACAUAAAAGCUGACUCACAGAGAGCGAGAAAUAACGAGUGGUUACCAGGGUGGAGAGAGGAGGGGGGAAGGAGCAGGUGAUUAAGGGGUACGAACUACCAUGUAUAAAAUAAGCUCAAGGAUAUAAGGUGUAACAGGGCACACAGCCACUAUUUUAUAAUAACUAUCCACGGCGUAUAACCUUUAAAAAUUCUGAAUCACUGUAUCGUUCACCUGUAACGUAUAAUAUUGUACAGCAACUAGACUUCGGUGUUUAAAAGGCAUCAGCCUGGGCAAUGCUACGACCUACCAGAGAAAUUCCUGGGAUUCAUACGAUGUUCUCCAAGGGCGUAAAGCUUAGAAACACUCAGACGGGACCUGAGCCCUGGAUAAUGGCAACUAUUAUUUCUAUAUUUUUCUGCUAGCUGCAUGGUAAGGCAGGGGGCUGCAGAAUGACUUUUUUUUUUUUUUUUUUUUAAACAAACAGCAGAACGUUAAUGCCUACAGUGAAUAUCAUUCAUUCACAGUUUUCUCCACGGCACUGAGACCCACGGGAGUAAUUAUGUCACGGCCUCGCCCAUGCCCGGUCCCAGGGCUGCCCUUGGCUCUGCCGAGAAGGGGGCUGUGCCUCAGGGUCACAUUAUCCCCAGAGCCCCACACCAGGCCUGGGACACUGGAGCGAUGACAGGAAAGGCCCUUGCCCUGUUUGCCAUGUUUUUGACAUCUUCUUUCAGAAAGGCUUUCAGGUUCUAAGCCAGCGGCUUUGGUGCAGCCCCUGUGGGGACGAGGCUUCAACUUUGAGGAUGGGCUUUAUUUUUGGAAACUGUGGAACGUUCGGACCCUCGACGGCAAGUAAGGGGAGGGGAGCCUGUCAAAUCAUGCUGAGCCGAGCCAUCUUUGGUCAGAGGAGCAAAGAAGCCAUGCAAGGUGGAGUUUGGGGAAGAGAAAAUGCAGAUGUGCAUAAACCGCUGGCAGCAGAGCACAGCCAGCUGUCCACGGGGACCUGGUGGAGGCAAAGUCUGAUUUGGUUCCCUAAUCAAAUUGGAGUGAGGGGGAGGGAUGGGCCGUUACGGCUGUGGAAAUUUCUCUUUUACUUUAUUUCUUGCUUUUUAGGGUGGCACCUUCAGCAUGUGGAGGUUCCCAGGUGUGGCCCUAAAAAGAAGAAAAUUAAAAAAGUACAGAGUCUUUGAGCCAACAAUUCCCUUCUAGGAAUUAACCUAUAAGACACUCCCACCAGCCCUCCCACACUGAUGCAAUGAGCCUGAAGAUGGUACAGGGUGAAUAAUUUGUUCACCAACACUGGGAAACCCUCUCCCUCAAAGGCAGGUCGCAGGCAGCGGCCGAGGGUAUAAUGGGGGAAAAGAGGAUCCCUGAACCUUGCUGAGGGGAGCAGGUAUGGGUGCAGUUUUGUUGGAGGCAAUUUUGCAGUAGCCAUCUACUGCAAACCUCGAUCAGAAAAGUGCAGGAGUUCCCGUCAUGGGUCAGCGAAAAGAUACGUGCACUAUCUACAACAGUCCAAACAUGGGAGCAGCCAAAAUGUCCAUGGACGGAUAAAGGAAGAAAGAAACUAUAUGUGGUAGCUAUAUGCAGUGGAAUAUUACUCAGCCAUAAAAAAGAAUGAAAUGAUGCCAUUCGCAGCAACAUGGAUGGAACUAGAGCUGAUCACACUAAGUGAAAGUAAGUCAGACGAAUAUCACGUGAUAUCACUUCCGUGUGGAAUCUUAACAAAUCAUGCAAGUGAACUUACAAAACAGAAACAGACUCACAGACUUCAAAAACACACUCUGGUUCCCAAAGGGGGCGGGUGGUGGGGAGGGAUGGAUUGAGGGUUUGAGACUGGCAGGUGUGCCCUGUGCUACGUGAAAUGGAGGAUCAGCAGGGACCAUACAGCACAGGGAACUCUACCCGAUAUUCUGUAAUAACUUAGAUGGGCAAAGACUCUGACAAAGAAUGGAUAUGUGUUUAUCUGAAUCACGUCGCUGUAAGAGCAGAAAUUAUCCAAACAUUGUACCGCAACUGUACUUCCACAAAACUUUAAAACAUGAGGGGGGGGACCCUCCCAUCUAUUUCUAAAGACAUAAGAAGAAGGACACACAGUGUCACACAUUUAUAUUUAUAUGUAAGUGUGUAGCCCGUCUCCAAAAAUGGCCCCAACAAUUUUCCCGCCUCGUGCACAGGCACAGGUGCUGCUUCCACAGGAAGAGGAAGAGCUUGUCUCCCAUGCCCUUGAACGUGGGCCUGUCCGGUGACUGGAGUAGAUCAAGAGAAUGUGGCAGAAGUGACAUUCGGGAAGCCAGCCCCAUGUGAUGAGAAACCCAAGCCACAUGACGAGUGAGAGGACAGCCCGAGAGCUCCUGGUGACAGCCCAGCUCAACGCCCAGCCACCAGCCAGCACCAGCAGCCAGCGGGCACAUUCUGGACUUUGCAUUCUCGCCACCAUCGCCUGAGGCCGAAGAACCACUCAAUCCACACAGACACGAGGAAAACAGAAGUUGUUCUUCUGGAGCUCUCAUCACGGCGCAGCGGAAACCAAUCCAACUAGGAACCAUGAAGUUGCAGGUUCGAUCCCUGGCCUCGCUCAGUGGGUGAGAGAUCCAGCGUUGCUGUGAGCUGUGGUGUAGGUCGCAGACGUGGCUCGGAUCCGGCGUUGCUGUAGCUGUGGUGUAGACCGGCAGUUGGAUAUCCGAUUGGACCCCUAGCCUGGGAACCUACAUAUGCCGUGGGUGUGGCCCUAAAAAGACAAAAAAAAAAAGUUCUAAACCACUAAGUUUUAAGAGCUUUGUUCCUCACAAUAGAUCCGAGAAACAGUCUUCAUUGCCAUCUUGUAUGAAAUAAAGAAAAACUGGGGGAGUUCCCAUCAUGGCUCAGUGGUUAACGAAUCCGACUAGGAACCAUGAGGUUGUGGGUUUGAUCCCUGGACUCCCUCAGUGGGUUAAGGAUCCGGCGUUGCCAUGAGCUGUGGUGUAGGUCGCAGACGCAGCUGGGAUCCCGAGUUGCUGUGGCUCUGGCGUAGGCCGGCGGCUACAGCUCCGAUUAGACCCCUAGCCUGGGAACCUCCAUAUGCCGCAGGAGCGGCUCAAGAAAAGGCAAAAAGAAAGAAAGAAAAACUGGGAACUAACUUAAAAGGCCACCCAGAGAAUGGCUGCCUAGAAAAGGGUCCAGGCUGUACCAGGAAUGCUGUAGUUACUGAGAAGAUUGGAGAGAAUCUGCAUGUAGGGCCAGGGAAAGGCCCGUGUAAUAGAUGAAAAGCACAUUUCAGAGCAUGCCCAGCAUCAUGUUAUGUAAAAUAUAUAUUAUUUAGGCAAACACAUACACACCAAAUCAUUAAUAAUAGUUACUUCUGGGGAGAAAGAUGGGUUUGGGAUCAAAGAAAAAGACAAAACUUUUUUUUGCUUGUAUGGCCACACCCGCAGCAUAGGGAAGUCCCCAGGCUAGGGGUCAAAUUGGAGCUACUGCUGCCAGCCUGUACCACAGCCACAGCAACGCCAGAUCCUUGACCCACCGAGCGAGGCCAGGGAUUGACACAUGUCCUUCUGGAUACUAGUCGGGUUCGUUACCCCUGAGCCACAAUGGGAACUCCCCAAAACUUCUGUUUUUGAUUUUCACGUAAUUUGACUUUUUUUUUUUUUUUUGCAAUAAUUAUGUACUCAUGUAUUAACAUUAAGAUCUAAUAAAAGGGAGUUCCUUUGUGUGGCUCAGCGGUUAACGAACCCAAUUAGGAUUUAUGAGGAUGGGGGUUCGAUCCCUGGCCUCGCUCAGUGGGUUAAGGAUCUGGCAUUGCUGUGAGCUGUGCUGUAGGCCGCAGAUGCGGCUUGGAUCUUGUGUUGCUGCGACUGUGGCGUAGGUAGGCAGCUACAGCUCCAAUUCGACCCCUAGCCUGGGAACUUCCAUAUGCCACAGGUGUGGCCCUAAAAAAAAAAAUUUAAUGAAAGAUGACAAAUAGAUUUCUGAGGCUUUUCACCCCAUCCUCUAAAUUCCUAAAAAUUUAGGAUAAGCCCAGUUUCAUGCUAGCUGUCAUUUCACUGAGCAUCUAUAAUAAACCGGGAAGCCCACGGCUUAUUUCUAAUUCUCACAACCACCCAGGCAGGUGGGCAUUAUUUUUCCUGUUUCAUAUAUGCGGGCUCUGGGGUUCGAAACGGACAGAUAGCUUUCCAAGUGUCACCUGAGGGGCAGAAUUGGUGUUUGAACCAGGCAGGUCCCACUCCAAAGCCUGGGACCCUUUCAGGGGAGACCUGGGCCCUGCCUGAAGGACCCGAAGGGAGGAACCCCCAGAGCUGAGAGGCCCUGCAGAUGCGGUACCUACACAUGCGCACCCAGGUUCAAAUCCCAAUUUCACCACUGACGAGCUGUGAGGACGUGGACGAGGGACCGCCUCUUGUGUCUCAUUCAACCAGCCAACAAGCAUUUCCUGAGGGCCAGACACCGCUCAUGCCAGGUCCCCACCACUUCACUGGGAAACCUCGGUGCUCAUGGAGCUUAAGAUGCAACAUGGCAGGAGUUCCCGUCAUGGCUCAGUGGUUAACAAAUCCGACGAGAAACCAUGAGGUUGCGGGUUCGAUCCCUGGCCUCACUCAGCGGGUGAAGGAUCCGGCAUUGCCCUGAGCUGUGGUGUAGGCCGGCAGCUACAGCUCCAAUUUGACCCCUAGCCUGGGAACCUCCAUAUGCCACGGGAGCGGCCCAAGAAAUGGCAAAAAAGACCAAAAAAAAAAAAAAAAAAAAAAAAGCAACAUGGUAGCCAGAUAUGAAACAAGCAACCAAAUAAACACAUAACGUGACCACAGGGGAUGAUAAAAGCUAAGCAAAGGGGAGCUAGACAUGCCUCAGUUUCCAUGUCAGUAAAAUGGGACACCAAUGGCACCAGCUUCAUGGGAUUCUUGUGCUGAGUCGAUAAAACAUUUCAUGUCAUGCACCCCUACGUUCACAGGAGCCCCACGUACGAUCGCCGAGACAGGGAAACACCCAAAAUGUCCAACGACAGAUGAGUGGAUAAAGAAGACGUGGUGCACAUCUAUAACGGAAUAUUACUCAGCCCUGAAACAGAAUGAAAUUAUGUCACUGGCAGCAACAUGGAUGGACCGAGAGAUUGUCAUACCAAGUGAAGCAGGUCAGAAAGACAAAUACCAUACGAUACCACUUCUAUGUGGAAUUUAAAAUAGGACACAAAUCGGAGUUCCCGUUGGGGCUCAGUGGUUAAUGAAUUCAACUAGGAACCAUGAGGUUGCGGGUUCGAUCCCUGGCCUCACUCAGCAGGUUAAAGAUCCGGCACUGCCAGGAGCUGUGGUGUGGGUCACAGAUGCGGCUCGGAUCCCGUGUUGCUGUGGCUCUGGUGUAGGUGGGUGGCUAUAGCUCCGAUUCGACCCCUACCCUGGGAAUCUCCAUAUGCCGUGGGAGCGGCUCAAGAAAAGGCAAAAAGACCAAAAAAAUAAAAAUAAAAACAUAAAGCGUACACAGCAAAUAUAUGCGACAAAGAGGUAAGCCACCUGGCCUAGAGCAGUCUGGGAGGCCUGCCCAGCGGAGGUAGCACAGGGGCCUG